UGCUCUGCACACUGAGCCCUUCUGGGCCUCAGCACAGCAACUUUGCCUUGACAACGCCGGGAUGCGGCCGCUGACAUCACAAUAGCAGCCGCCCUAGGCUGGAUUGUGAAUUCAUGCAUAGAACCAGACCUGCUCUACACCUAAUGCCAAAAAAUGCCUGCAAAGUUCUCCUCUGCUACAAAGCAACACAAAAAGCCCUCCUAGUCCAUCACCUGUUGUUCAAGGCAUGUAAGAGUAGAAACACACUGAGCCCCUAGAGCCCACACUGAGAAGCUGAGCACUGAGAAGGGACCAGGAUGUGAGGAACCACAUUAGUGGUCUUUGGCAACUAUUUCUGCUGAGCAAAAGCCAGAAGGCUUGUUCCAGCUGGACCUUCCUUCGUUCUAGAAAGCAGCAAACAAGGAGAAGCACUACUUUAAUUACAUUUAGAAGUUUCUCCUAGGUACAGAGACAAGGUCAUGGAUCUUUCAGCAGUCUAUAUUCAAAACAUUUUACAUCAUAGCCAUGGGUGGGAUUUCAGCAGGGAAAUGCCAUGACAGAAAAUGCAAGGAGGAUCAUUCUGUCUGACUCACUCUAACAGGGAGACCUUGCGACCAAAGCACCACCACCAUUUUUUCCCCCAUUUUUGUCCUUCCACAGUAUUUGUUAGCACAUGGGGCUGAGAUGGGUGGCACGGAAGUGACAGCUCUGACACACAGCUGAACCCAGCAGGGCCAGAGUGGCAUGUGGGACUGUUUUUCUGCUCCAGCAGAACAAGGCAAGCCAGAGUGGUGACACUGAUCCCAAAAGGGGAGAGAGGAGAGGCUUUACAAGGACUACCUCAAGAAGAGGACAUAGAAUGGAGGGAAGGCCUUCGAAAGAAUAAACAACCCUCAUGCUGCCGCUUUUGCAAGGAAUAAAUGUCCAAGUUUCUUAGUAUCCAGCCACAAAUCUGUGGAGUCUUGACAGCCAAGAAGCACAGGAACCUGGACACCUUGUUGUGAGAGACUAGAGGAGAUUGCUGGCUCAACACUUUUCAGGGGCUUGUAUGUGGGGAAGGGGGCAGAUCAAGGCUUGCUCUGGUGAGGCGAUGCCCCACUCGGCACGCCCCACACCCCCAGGCCUGUAUCCCAGCCCAGCAGUGGCCACUGAUCCCUGGCACACCAGAGGCAAUGCUCCACACCUGUGUCUGGAGCCCCUAACCCAGCUCCUAAAUGGCCAGGUGAGUGGGAGCCCCAUGUGGGGGAAGGCCCCAGGAGAGCCAAAGGCUAUUUACCUUGGGAUAUGUGGCCACCACAUGUCUUGAUCCUACCUCUUCUUGGAAUUUCUAUCAGCUGAACACCACUGGAACCAGGAGUGAUAGCUAUGUUGGUUCCUUUCUGUCAUUCUCUCUUUCUCUUUCUUCUCCCUUUUCCCUGCUCUCAGAUGUUUGAGUAAUUUAAAAUCUUAACAGGCUUAAUGAUCUAAAUCUAACUCAAUUAACACAUUUUGUUUGGUUGAUUGGGCUAAGUUAAUGCUUUGUAAAAUAUUCUCUGUUAUGUUUAAUUUUUUUACCUUUCAAGUUCUCUGAUUUUUGAAAGUUGACAGUGAAGGGUUUUUUGUUGUUCCAAUCUCUUGAGAACAUCUCAUCAGUAUUUUUCCUGCUUUUCUAUCUCAAGAGUACAGGAACAAGUUUAAGUCCUUUUACAGUGUCCCAGAGAGCAACAUUUUUGGGGCCUUACAUUUUAAUUGGCACAGCAGG
Molecule: long non-coding RNA, 1720 nt
Organism: Passer domesticus (house sparrow)
Lineage: Eukaryota; Metazoa; Chordata; Aves; Passeriformes; Passeridae
Exons: 2
Source: RefSeq, a predicted model, not a curated record